Molecule: ribosomal RNA, 465 nt
Filed under: uncultured bacterium
Lineage: Bacteria
Description: partial 16S ribosomal RNA
Rfam family: Bacterial small subunit ribosomal RNA
Source: RNAcentral
GACGAACGCUGGCGGCGUGCUUAACACAUGCAAGUCGAACGGAAAGGCCCCUUUGGGGGUCCUCGAGUGGCGAACGGGGGAGUAACACGUGAGUAACCUGCCCUUAACUUCCGGAUAAGUUUAGUAAACUGGGGCUAAUACUGGAUAGGAAUCCUUUCUGCAUGGUGGGGGUUGGAAAGUUUCGGCGGUUUUUGAUGGACUUGCUGCUUAUCGGCUUGUUGGUGGGGUAGUGGGUUACCAAGGCUUUGGCGGGAAGCCGGCCUGAGAGGGCGACCGGCCACAUUGGGACUGAGAUAAGGCCCCGACUCCGACUCGAGGGAGAAGUGGGAAAGAUUGAACAAGGAGCGGAGGCCGGAUGAAGAAACGCCGCGGGCGGGAUGACGGUCUUAGGGUUGUAGACCGAUUGCAGCAGUAGCGAAGCUUGUGGUGACGGUACCUGCAGAAGAAGCACCGGCUAACUACGUG